Molecule: unclassified non-coding RNA, 183 nt
Filed under: uncultured fungus
Lineage: Eukaryota; Fungi
Description: sequence contains ITS1
Source: RNAcentral
UUGAUUGAUUUGUAUUCAAUACUCGACGCAAAGAUGCAGAGUUGAUUGGUCCUCUGGGGGACUCCCGGCCGCGGACGUCCGGGUCGCCCCCCGAGGCAACAGAUAUUAAUCGACAAAGGGUUGGAGGUCGGGCGCGAGGGCCCUCACUCGGUAAUGAUCCCUCCGCAGGUUCACCUACGGAGA